This is a long non-coding RNA of Momordica charantia (bitter melon), 2367 nucleotides long. RefSeq lists it as uncharacterized. The record is from RefSeq and is a predicted model, not a curated record. NCBI's taxonomy places the organism in Eukaryota, Viridiplantae, Streptophyta, Magnoliopsida, Cucurbitales, Cucurbitaceae.
AGAGCGAGAGCGAGAAUUUCAGCAAGAGAGGAGAGCGAGAUCGAGAAUUUCAGCGAGAGAGGGAGAGCGAGAUCGAGAAUUUCCAAGAAGAAGGGGAUUCCGACUAUGGAAAUCGGUGAUAAAAGACGAUCAAAUCUCUCCCGCCGAAAAGAAAGGUUUUUUUUAUAGGUGCCACUGCAAUCUCACGUCCAUCAGAUUGGUCGUUGGCCCGCCUGCGUCCGCUGCUGCACCGAUUUGCGCCGCUCGAUUGAUCGCCGCUCGCCGAUUACUCUUGGUCUCAAUCGUACGAAGAUUGAAGAUUAAGUUAGCAGUUUUUUUUCUUGUCGUCGUUUGACGUGUGUUCGUGGUGACCGUUGUCUGUUCGUGGUUGAACAUGAAAUAUUGAAAUAGAAUCAAUAUUUGUUACAUAUUGAAACAGAAUCAAUAUUUGUUAUACAUUGAAACAGAAUCUUUGACUCCGGUUGUUGAACGUUUCGGAUGGUUUCAUUGCUGUGCAGAUUUCACGAAUUUUGGGCACUGCUGCAGAUUUGGUUUUAGUGCGGUUCAAGCUUCUGGUUCGGCCUGGUUCAUUUUUACGGUUCGGUUCAAUACAGUGGUUCGGUCUGGUUCACCUCACUGGUUCGAUUCGGUUCAGUACAAAAGCAGUGUUUUUCGUUGUAUUUGUUUUUUUCAUGGACUUUUUUUUUAUCGGGCUCUGACAGAGGAAGAAAAAACUCCAUUAGCAAAAACUAUGAGUUGCCACAAAAAUUGAUACAAAUUCACCGUUUUACCUAGGACCACAAGAUCGUCCCGGUGAUUUCAUAACUCCAAUUCGUCUAAAGCUUGAUAAUUUUGACGAAUGGUCUCAUGCAAUCCGAGUUGCUCUUUCAUCUCGACGAAAAUUUGGUUUUCUUAACGAACCAUCACUAGGGUUGUUCCGCCCUGGACAAAUGAUAAUUGGGUCACAAUUCAUUGUAUGCUAGUUUCAUGGCUCAUCAAUACAAUCGAUCCUGAGGUACGUUCUAUGCUAUCUAAUUAUAAUAAUGCCAAGUUGUUAUGGGAUGAUUUGAACGAACGAUUCUCUGUUGUCAAUGGUCCUCAUAUUUACCAACUUAAGGGAAAUAUUAGCCGUUGUGAACAGAGCAAAAAUAUGUAUGUUGUUGUCUACUUUAGUAAAUUGAAUGUCUUGUGGGAUGAGUUAGAUAAACAUGAGCCCCUGAUUUCUUGCGAGUGUGGAAAUUGUACUUGUCAGGUUGGAAAACUACAUGAGAAACGACGCUCUGAUGAUAGACUUCAUCAAUUUUUACUUGGUUUGUGUUUUGAUUAUUAUGGUCAAUUGAGGACUACUCUUCUGUCAUGAGAUCCUCUUCCAUCAUUAAAUCGGGCAUUUCAGCAAGUGGCUCAAAAUGAACGGGUUAGAGGAAUUACUCAACUCGGAUCAAACAACGAUGAGAAACCUGAGGUGGUUGGUUUUGCUGUGCUUACGGAUAAUAGGCAAAAGACACGAUUGGAUCGAGCAGAAAACGCGGUCUUGACUUGUACUUACAGUCACAAAUCAGGACAUUCCUGUAGUACAUGUUUUGUUUUACAUGGCACUCCAGAUUGGUACUUGGAGAGGUAUGGGUCUUCAUCCGAUAGCAAAGGACAUUUGAAAGGUAAAGCAACAUUCCACAAAGCUUCGAACAACCGUGGACGCUCCACAGCGCGCGCAAAUGCUAUUGCCACUGACGACCCUCAACAGUACAUCACCUGUUAUGUCAACCCCUCUAGAAUUUACGGCUGAACAGUGAGCAGCCGUAACAGUUGCGUUUGGUACUCCUUCUUCCAACCGGUUGCACGAUAAGUAUAACAUUGCUUAUUGGAUUAUUGAUACCUCUCAUCAUGUUACCGGUAAUGAUUCUUGUCUAUUGGAUGUUCACGUGGUUUCUUCUUGCCCUGUGGGUCUCCCAAAUGGACAAACUGUAGUUGCUACUAAAACAGGCAUUGUGAAACUGACCGACUCUAUCAUACUUGAUAAUGUUCUCUUUGUUCCUCAAUUAUAGUGCAAUUUAAUAUCGGUUUCACAAUUGAGUGAUGAGCUUCAUUAUUUAGUUCAAUUUGAUUCUAACUCAUGUGCUAUACAGGACCAACGUUAGAGGAAGGUGAUUAGCACGGGUGAGCGAAGAGAUGGACUUUAUUAUCUGCGACGAAGUUUAACAGUGCAAGCCGUUUCAGUUUCUAGUUUAAAGUCUUUGGAGUUGUGGCAUCAUCGGUUGGGUCAUCCUUCCGUAGUGAAGUUGCUUCCUUUUCUUUCAGUUGGAUAAAGGGUGUGAAGUCUGUCAUCGGGCUAAAUAUUCUCGUAGUAUUUUUUCUUCCAGUAAAAAUAAAUCCACUCAGAUAUUUGAGUUA